GAUGAAGAACGUAGCGAAAUGCGAUAAGUAAUGUGAAUUGCAGAAUUCAGUGAAUCAUCGAAUCUUUGAACGCACAUUGCGCCCGCCAGUAUUCUGGCGGGCAUGCCUGUCCGAGCGUCAUUUCAACCAUCAAGCCCCGGGCUUGUGUUGGGGACCUGCGUCCGACGCAGGCCCCGAAAACCAGUGGCGGGCUCGCUGUCCACACCGAGCGUAGUAGCUAACCUCGCUCCGGAGUGGCGCGGGCGCCUGCCGUAAAACCCCCCAAUUUUACAAGGUUGACCUCGGAUCGGGUAGGAAUACCCGCUGAACUUAAGCAUAUCAAUAAGCGGAGGA
RNAcentral lists this unclassified non-coding RNA (333 nucleotides) under soil metagenome. RNAcentral's name for it is "partial contains 5.8S ribosomal RNA, internal transcribed spacer 2, and large subunit ribosomal RNA". The stretch from base 1 to 120 matches the Rfam family "5.8S ribosomal RNA", at positions 35 to 154 of the family's 154-position model. The record is from RNAcentral.